AAGAGGCGCGAGCGAGUAAUGUAUUGCAAAGAAAAGUAAACGGGAAAGUCACAGCUUGUUGCUGGGUUCUGUAAUGGUGGUGACUGGUCUCUAGUCUUAACAGACCGACCAUUAUUAUCAAAGACUAGUCCUUUCCUUUGUUCAACUAUACAUCCUCAACCAAGUUACUGUUUUUCUCUUCCAAAGACUUGCAACGACUCUGCUCCCCGAUCAUGAAGAAGGGAACCUUAAACCCUAACAUCAAGCUCAAGCUCUCUCUCCCUCCUUCCGAUGAAGUUUACUUCGCCAAGUUCCUAACCCAAAGUGGUACCUUUAUGGAUGGCGAUCUGCUUGUCAAUCGGGAUGGAGUUCGAGUUGUUUCGCAAAGUGAAUCCGAAGCUCCACCUCCUAUUAAACCAUUGGACAACCAGUUGAAUUUGGCAGAC
This 425-nucleotide unclassified non-coding RNA is filed under the name Hevea brasiliensis (rubber tree). Lineage: Eukaryota; Viridiplantae; Streptophyta; Magnoliopsida; Malpighiales; Euphorbiaceae. The record is from RNAcentral.